Molecule: ribosomal RNA, 521 nt
Filed under: uncultured Glomus
Lineage: Eukaryota; Fungi; Glomeromycota; Glomeromycetes; Glomerales; Glomeraceae
Description: SSU rRNA
Rfam family: Eukaryotic small subunit ribosomal RNA
Source: RNAcentral
AGCAGCCGCGGUAAUUCCAGCUCCAAUAGCGUAUAUUAAAGUUGCUGCAGUUAAAAAGCUCGUAGUUGAAUUUCGGGACUAAUAUGUCGGUCGUGCCUCGGUACGUACUGGUAUUUUUGGUUUCUCCCUUCUGACGAACCUUGAUGUCAUUAAUUUGGUGUCUUGGGAAAUCAGGACUGUUACUUUGAAAAAAUUAGAGUGUUUAAAGCAGGCUCACGCUUGAAUACAUUAGCAUGGAAUAAUGAAAUAGGACGUUUGAUUCUAUUUUGUUGGUUUCUAGGAUCGACGUAAUGAUUAAUAGGGAUAGUUGGGGGCAUUAGUAUUCAAUUGUCAGAGGUGAAAUUCUUGGAUUUAUUGAAGACUAACUACUGCGAAAGCAUUUGCCAAGGAUGUUUUCAUUAAUCAAGAACGAAAGUUAGGGGAUCGAAGAUGAUCAGAUACCGUCGUAGUCUUAACCAUAAACUAUGCCGACUAGGGAUCGGAUGAUGUUAAUUUUUUAAUGACUCAUUCGGCGCCUUACG